This 819-nucleotide ribosomal RNA is filed under the name Nocardioides sp. RNAcentral's name for it is "bacterial SSU rRNA". It matches the Rfam family "Bacterial small subunit ribosomal RNA", at positions 45 to 879 of the family's 1533-position model. Lineage: Bacteria; Bacillati; Actinomycetota; Actinomycetes; Propionibacteriales; Nocardioidaceae. The record is from RNAcentral.
AGAGGUCUACCAUGCAGUCGAGCGGAAGGCCACUUCGGUGGUACUCGAGCGGCGAACGGGUGAGUAACACGUGAGUAAUCUGCCCCUGGCUUCGGGAUAGCCACCGGAAACGGUGAUUAAUACCGGAUAUGACAGACCCUCGCAUGGGGGUGUGUGGAAAGUUUUUCGGCCAGGGAUGUGCUCGCGGCCUAUCAGCUUGAUGGUGAGGUAAUGGCUCACCAUGGCUUCGACGGGUAGCCGGCCUGAGAGGGUGACCGGCCACACUGGGACUGAGACACGGCCCAGACUCCUACGGGAGGCAGCAGUGGGGAAUAUUGGACAAUGGGCGGAAGCCUGAUCCAGCAACGCCGCGUGAGGGAUGACGGCCUUCGGGUUGUAAACCUCUUUCAGUACCGACGAAGCGCAAGUGACGGUAGGUACAGAAGAAGCACCGGCCAACUACGUGCCAGCAGCCGCGGUAAUACGUAGGGUGCGAGCGUUGUCCGGAAUUAUUGGGCGUAAAGGGCUCGUAGGCGGUUUGUCGCGUCGGGAGUGAAAACGCCGUGCUUAACACGGCGCUUGCUUCCGAUACGGGCAGACUAGAGGUAUUCAGGGGAGAACGGAAUUCCUGGUGUAGCGGUGAAAUGCGCAGAUAUCAGGAGGAACACCGGUGGCGAAGGCGGUUCUCUGGGAAUGACCUGACGCUGAGGAGCGAAAGUGUGGGGAGCGAACAGGAUUAGAUACCCUGGUAGUCCACACCGUAAACGUUGGGCGCUAGGUGUGGGGUCCAUUCCACGGAUUCCGUGCCGCAGCUAACGCAUUAAGCGCCCCGCCUGGGGA